RNAcentral lists this ribosomal RNA (253 nucleotides) under uncultured bacterium. RNAcentral describes it as "partial 16S ribosomal RNA". It matches the Rfam family "Bacterial small subunit ribosomal RNA", at positions 524 to 776 of the family's 1533-position model. The record is from RNAcentral.
UACGUAGGUGGCAAGCGUUAUCCGGAUUUAUUGGGCGUAAAGAGAGCGUAGGCGGCACUACAAGUCCCAUGUGAAAUACCCGGGCUUAACUUGGGGGUUGCAUGGGAAACUGUAGAGCUUGAGUACAGGAGAGGCAAGCGGAAUUCCUAGUGUAGCGGUGAAAUGCAUAGAUAUUAGGAGGAACACCAGUGGCGAAGGCGGCUUGCUGGACUGAAACUGACGCUGAGGCUCGAAAGCGUGGGGAGCAAACAGG